UGCAGUCGACGACGACCUCGGGCUUGCCCGGGGAAGUGAGUGGCGAACGGCUGAGUAACGCGUGGGUGACCUGCCCAGAAGUGGGGAAUAACUGCCCGAAAGGGUGGCUAAUACCGCAUGUGGUCAUGAGUUCAUUCUUAUGACCAAAGCCUUCGGGCGCUUCUGGAGGGGCCUGCGUUCGAUUAGCUCGUUGGUGAGGUAAUGGCUCACCAAGGCGACGAUCGAUAGGUGGUCUGAGAGGAUGAUCACCCAGACUGGGACUGAGACACGGCCCAGACUCCUACGGGAGGCAGCAGUCGGGAAUUUUGCUCAAUGGGGGAAACCCUGAAGCAGCAACGCCGCGUGAGGGAUGAAGGCCUUCGGGUUGUAAACCUCUUUUCUCAGGGACGAUAAUGACGGUACCUGAGGAAUAAGCCACGGCUAACUACGUG
This 431-nucleotide ribosomal RNA is filed under the name uncultured bacterium. RNAcentral's name for it is "bacterial SSU rRNA". It matches the Rfam family "Bacterial small subunit ribosomal RNA", at positions 56 to 507 of the family's 1533-position model. The record is from RNAcentral.